GAUGAAGAACGUAGUGAAACGCGAUAUGUAAUGUGAAUUGCAGAAUUCAGUGAAUCAUCAAAUCUUUGAACGCACAUGGCGCCUUCCAGUAUCCUGGGAGGCAUGCCUGUCCGAGCGUCGUUUCAACCCUCGAGCCCCCGUGGCCCGGCGUUGGGGAUCUGCCCAGGCAGUCCCCGAAAACCAGUGGCGGACCCGUUACAGGCCCUUCCCUUGCGUAGUAGCAUUCGCCUCGCAUCGGGAGCCGGCGGGCUUCCAGCCUCUAAACCCCCAUCAAGUCCGCCCCGGCGGCACCAAGGUUGACCUCGGAUCAGGUAGGAAUACCCGCUGAACUUAAGCAUAUCAAUAAGCGGAGGA
This 354-nucleotide unclassified non-coding RNA is filed under the name soil metagenome. RNAcentral's name for it is "partial contains 5.8S ribosomal RNA, internal transcribed spacer 2, and large subunit ribosomal RNA". The stretch from base 1 to 120 matches the Rfam family "5.8S ribosomal RNA", at positions 35 to 154 of the family's 154-position model. The record is from RNAcentral.